GUGGGGAAUAUUGGACAAUGGGGGGAACCCUGAUCCAGCCAUGCCGCGUGUGUGAAGAAGGCCUUUUGGUUGUAAAGCACUUUAAGCGAGGAGGAGGCUACCGAGAUUAAUACUCUUGGAUAGUGGACGUUACUCGCAGAAUAAGCACCGGCUAACUCUGUGCCAGCAGCCGCGGUAAUACAGAGGGUGCAAGCGUUAAUCGGAUUUACUGGGCGUAAAGCGCGCGUAGGUGGCCAAUUAAGUCAAAUGUGAAAUCCCCGAGCUUAACUUGGGAAUUGCAUUCGAUACUGGUUGGCUAGAGUAUGGGAGAGGAUGGUAGAAUUCCAGGUGUAGCGGUGAAAUGCGUAGAGAUCUGGAGGAAUACCGAUGGCGAAGGCAGCCAUCUGGCCUAAUACUGACACUGAGGUGCGAAAGCAUGGGGAGCAAACAGGAUUAGAUACCCGGUAGUCC
Molecule: ribosomal RNA, 450 nt
Filed under: uncultured bacterium
Lineage: Bacteria
Description: partial 16S ribosomal RNA
Rfam family: Bacterial small subunit ribosomal RNA
Source: RNAcentral